GUGUUUGUGGCUCAGUUGGUAGAGCAUGGUGUUUGCAACGCCAGGGUUGUGGGUUCGAUUCCCACGGGGGACC
RNAcentral lists this transfer RNA (73 nucleotides) under Salmo salar (Atlantic salmon). It matches the Rfam family "tRNA". From Rfam's summary of the family: Transfer RNA (tRNA) molecules are approximately 80 nucleotides in length. Their secondary structure includes four short double-helical elements and three loops (D, anti-codon, and T loops). Further hydrogen bonds mediate the characteristic L-shaped molecular structure. tRNAs have two regions of fundamental functional importance: the anti-codon, which is responsible for specific mRNA codon recognition, and the 3' end, to which the tRNAs corresponding amino acid is attached (by aminoacyl-tRNA synthetases). tRNAs cope with the degeneracy of the genetic code in two manners: having more than one tRNA (with a specific anti-codon) for a particular amino acid; and 'wobble' base-pairing, i.e. permitting non-standard base-pairing at the 3rd anti-codon position. The record is from Rfam by way of RNAcentral. Lineage: Eukaryota; Metazoa; Chordata; Actinopteri; Salmoniformes; Salmonidae.